GGCAUUGAUAUCCCCAGCAAGUCCAAGACAGUUGAAUCCCCACAGAGUGUUGGUGGUUCUUAUCCCCAACAAUAUCCCCAAGCGGAUCGGGUGCAAAGGAGGUUUUUCCCCAACAAGGGUUGCCUUUUCCCAACAGCAGUGCUAUUCCCCAGCAGGGUGGAGAUCGGAGUAUUGGCGAGUUCCUCAGCAGAGUAUCUUGAGCUCCCCAGAAGAGUCCCUUGAGGGGGAUGCUUUUUAUGCAUUCAUCAUAUAAAAU
RNAcentral lists this long non-coding RNA (256 nucleotides) under Lathyrus oleraceus (garden pea). RNAcentral's name for it is "Pisum sativum (pea) long non-coding RNA (PSAT_LNC038490)". The record is from RNAcentral. Lineage: Eukaryota; Viridiplantae; Streptophyta; Magnoliopsida; Fabales; Fabaceae.